UUUUCUCUCUUUCUCUCUCUAUAUUAUCGAGCGUAUUCUUGUGAGUAUACUUUGAGUGUUGCUAUACGGUGCGAGUUUCUGUCAACACUAUACCAAAAUUCAGUCAGAAGUACGGUUAUUUUGAGGUAAGGGAUGUUAUUUCUUUCGCAAAUGGUAUUAUUUUCUUCAAUAUCAUUAUGCCAAAAUAUUGGUUGAACUUUUUAUCAAAUUUGGAACUUGUUGUGUCGAGGUUACUAUUCACGUAUACGGCACUAUUCACGAAUACAGCACUAUUCACCGAAAAAUAAAAAUUCUCCUUUUUAUCUAAAAUGUCUAUUAUGGUUACUAGCUUUGAUUGUAUCCAUGUUUUGAUCUUCAUUCUUGAAGUUUGGCUCAUAAUUGUUUAUUAUGGAGUAUUUUUGAAUUUGGACAAACUAAAGUACGAAUCCUUAAUCCUUAAUCCUUAAUCCUUAAUCCUUGUCAUUUUGUUUCACUGGAUUCGUUUCUUUAAAAAAAUAUUUUUCAUCAUCCUCAGUUCUAAAUGAUGGUACUACUGAAUAUCUUUGGCCUGUAGUGCAAAGAUGAAUGAUUAACUGAUGAAUAUCUUUGGCCUGUAGUGCAAAGAUGAACAGGUGUUGAGAUGAACAUGAUCGACUGGUGAUUUAAAUGAUUAUCUUUGGCCUGUAGUGCAAAGAUGAAUGAUUAACUGAUGAAUAUCUUUGGCCUGUAGUGCAAAGAUGAACAGGUGUUGAGAUGAACAUGAUCGACUGGUGAUUUAAAUGAUUAUCUUUGGCCUGUAGUGCAAAGAUGAAUAUUGAUUGUUGUUAUAGGGAUAAAAUAUUGAUUAUGAACUUUUAAAUUUUAGAAGAUAGUAGAAUUCAUUCUCUACGCGACUCUUCUAAUGGAUUGUUGUUUCCGCUGCAUUUGUUGAUCUAAAACUUGUUGUCUAUUUUAUUUUAUCAGAUUUUUCCCUGUUGAAGACUGACGAUAAUUUGUUGUAUAUUAUCUUAGUCAUAAUAUUCUUUACUGGGCUAGUUGAGCUCACCCUUUCCUUUUUGUUCCAUUUUUCUUCUCAGGAGGUGAGAACAUAGCAGGAUCGAGUCGGGGUAUGGAGUGAUGGUUCUAGGAAGAUGUUUUAGCAGUCCUCACUAUUUCUAUAAAAUAGUGUUUGAAUAAU
Molecule: long non-coding RNA, 1156 nt
Filed under: Panax ginseng (ginseng)
Lineage: Eukaryota; Viridiplantae; Streptophyta; Magnoliopsida; Apiales; Araliaceae
Description: long non-coding RNA (PGIN_LNC016724)
Source: RNAcentral